UAUCGCUGCCCUCCUUGGGCGUUUCCUCCCUAGACUUGGGCCGUACAUGUAAAUGUGCGGCCCCUUUUUUAUGGUCC
RNAcentral lists this small RNA (77 nucleotides) under Pseudochelatococcus contaminans. RNAcentral's name for it is "Makes More Granules Regulator RNA (mmgR)". It matches the Rfam family "Makes More Granules Regulator RNA (mmgR)". From Rfam's summary of the family: SuhB later renamed mmgR (makes more granules regulator) was a putative non-coding RNA found multiple times in the Agrobacterium tumefaciens genome and related alpha-proteobacteria. Other non-coding RNAs uncovered in the same analysis include: speF, ybhL, metA, and serC. Lineage: Bacteria; Pseudomonadati; Pseudomonadota; Alphaproteobacteria; Hyphomicrobiales; Chelatococcaceae. The record is from Rfam by way of RNAcentral.